GAUGAACGCUGGCGGCGUGCCUAAUACAUGCAAGUCGAGCGGACGGACGAGAAGCUUGCUUUUCUGAUGUUAGCGGCGGACGGGUGAGUAACACGUGGAUAACCUACCUAUAAGACUGGGAUAACUUCGGGAAACCGGAGCUAAUACCGGAUAAUAUUUUGAACCGCAUGGUUCAUAAGUGAAAGACGGUCUUGCUGUCACUUAUAGAUGGAUCCGCGCUGCAUUAGCUAGUUGGUAAGGUAACGGCUUACCAAGGCAACGAUGCAUAGCCGACCUGAGGGGGUGAUCGGCCACACUGGAACUGAGACACGGUCCAGACUCCUACGGGAGGCAGCAGUAGGGAAUCUUGCGCAAUGGGCGAAAGCCUGACGGAGCAACGCCGCGUGAGUGAUGAAGGUCUUCGGAUCGUAAAACUCUGUUAUUAGGGAAGAACAUAUGUGUAAGUAACUGUGCACAUCUUGACGGUACCUAAUCAGAAAGCCACGGCUAACUACGUG
This 497-nucleotide ribosomal RNA is filed under the name uncultured bacterium. RNAcentral's name for it is "partial 16S ribosomal RNA". It matches the Rfam family "Bacterial small subunit ribosomal RNA", at positions 28 to 507 of the family's 1533-position model. The record is from RNAcentral.